GUCCACGCCGUAAACGUUGGGCACUAGGUGUGGGGCUCUAUCGACGGGCUCCGUGCCGUAGCUAACGCAUUAAGUGCCCCGCCUGGGGAGUACGGCCGCAAGGCUAAAACUCAAAGGAAUUGACGGGGGCCCGCACAAGCGGCGGAGCAUGUGGCUCAAUUCGAUGCAACGCGAAGAACCUUACCUGGGCUGAACUACGCGGGAAAAGCCGUAGAAAUACGGUGUCCUUCGGGGUCCGCGAUAGGUGGUGCAUGGCUGUCGU
Molecule: ribosomal RNA, 262 nt
Filed under: uncultured bacterium
Lineage: Bacteria
Description: partial 16S ribosomal RNA
Rfam family: Bacterial small subunit ribosomal RNA
Source: RNAcentral